UCUAGUGGUAAUGGCAAAGAGGUCACACCCGUUCCCAUACCGAACACGGAAGUUAAGUUCUUUUGCGCCGAUGGUAGUUGGGGGUCUCCCCCUGUGAGAGUAGGACGUCGCUAGGC
Molecule: ribosomal RNA, 116 nt
Filed under: Paenisporosarcina antarctica
Lineage: Bacteria; Bacillati; Bacillota; Bacilli; Caryophanales; Caryophanaceae
Source: RNAcentral